This 612-nucleotide long non-coding RNA is filed under the name Struthio camelus australis. RNAcentral's name for it is "lncRNA (ENSSCUG00000010233.1)". Lineage: Eukaryota; Metazoa; Chordata; Aves; Struthioniformes; Struthionidae. The record is from RNAcentral.
UAAGUUUCAAUCAGAAUGGCAACGCAAGUAACACAGUAAAUCUGCUGUGUUAACGCAUUGGUGGCAUUAUAGCACCUUUGCUUUUCUGAGAAUAAUAUCGUUUUCUGAGGUGCUGUUUGUGAGGUAAUUUCCUUUAUUCACAAUAAAGAGUUAACUUAUUUCAAUGGUACUGUUUCCGAAUUAGGGAAGUGCUCUUUGUAUUGUAGUAAUAGUCACCCCAAUGCCUAAAUUUUCUCACGCACGUUUAUUGUAAAAGAACACUAUUAAACAGCAAAAUUGGGGACUUUAAAGGUUAGAAAUGUCAAUAUUUAAGACUUAAAUUUAAGAUUUAAGAUUUUUUUUUUUUUGACAGUCUUUGUUUACAUAUUGUUUUACCUUCACAUUAUCUGAGGUUGGGCUGAAGAUGCUUAAUGGACAUCUCUGCAUUUCUUCAGUGUUCUGCAGGAAAUCCAAGCUAUUCAGAGGAUGUUUUGAAAGGAAGAGCCACCCAGAAUUACCUGAUGGGCCUGAACGUGGAGCCAUGAGUAUCUUGGUCUGGCUCUUUAUAACCAAACCAGAGGAAAACCACUUAAACAUAAGGCACCGUGGAGACUCGCAGACUGUCUAGAAAUG